Molecule: ribosomal RNA, 448 nt
Filed under: uncultured bacterium
Lineage: Bacteria
Description: bacterial SSU rRNA
Rfam family: Bacterial small subunit ribosomal RNA
Source: RNAcentral
UGGGGAAUCUUGCGCAAUGGGCGAAAGCCUGACGCAGCAACGCCGCGUGCGGGAUGAAGGCUCUCGGGUUGUAAACCGCUUUCAGCAGGAACGAAAAUGACAGUACUUGCAGAAGAAGGUGCGGCCAACUAUGUGCCAGCAGCCGCGGUGAUACAUAGGCACCAAGCGUUGUCCGGAUUUAUUGGGCGUAAAGAGCUCGUAGGCGGUUCGGUAAGUCGGGUGUGAAAACUUUGGGCUCAACCCAAAGCCUGCAUCCGAUACUGCUGUGACUAGAGUUCGGUAGGGGAGCGGGGAAUUCCUAGUGUAGCGGUGAAAUGCGCAGAUAUUAGGAGGAACACCGGUGGCGAAGGCGCCGCUCUGGGCCGAUACUGACGCUGAGGAGCGAAAGCGUGGGUAGCAAACAGGAUUAGAUACCCUAGUAGUCCCUGAGCGGGCUGGCAAGGCGCAU